AAAGAUGGCUGUGUGACUGCAAUUGUUUUCAAUUGAGGAAAGUCCGGACUCCACCGAAUAUAGUACAUGGUAACUCCAUGCUGAGGUAACUCAAGGGCUAGUGCAACAGAAAAUAAACCGCCUAUUUAAUAGGUAAGGGUGGAACGGUGCGGUAAGAGCGCACCAGGUUUCUUAGUAAUAGGAAAUGCUAUGUAAACCCUACUAGGAGCAAGGUCAAAUAGAGAUAGCUGGUAAUUUCGGACCGUUACUAUCUGGGUAGACUGCAAAAGGUAAUUAGUGAUAAUUAUCUCAGAUGAAUAGUCACACUCGACAGAAUCCGGCUUAUAGGCCAUCUUUUCUC
Molecule: RNase P RNA, 340 nt
Filed under: Rickettsiales bacterium
Lineage: Bacteria; Pseudomonadati; Pseudomonadota; Alphaproteobacteria; Rickettsiales
Description: RNase P RNA component class A
Rfam family: Bacterial RNase P class A
About the family: Ribonuclease P (RNase P) is a ubiquitous endoribonuclease, found in archaea, bacteria and eukarya as well as chloroplasts and mitochondria.
Source: RNAcentral